UAAAAAGAAAACAAGAAAAUAAGAAAAUAAUAAAAGAAAAUAAAAGAAAAAUAAAAAGUAGGCAAGAAAAGGGACACAAAGUGUUAGAAAGCAAGCGUAUGCACUACUACAAAAACAAGAAAUGAAACGCAACAUAUAGAACGGUUGGGUAGAAAAAGCGUUCUUUGCAACUACAUAGAACGGUUACCUGUAGCAGGCGUUGUGUAAAGUAAUAAAUAUGAAACAGUUAAGAACCUAACCGUUCUCUAUACUUUAUAACAUUAAAAAAUUAUUUUAUUUUAUUAAACUAAUAAAAGAAUAAAACAAUGUACUCAAACAAGUAUAUAACCGCAAAGUAUUUUUCCAGUUAAUUUUGAAAAGCCCGUCCACAAAUAGUUUAUCCCUCUUUUAUUUUUUAAAUUGGGCAAUUACUUUGAUACUUUAGCAAACCUAACCCACUUCUUUCUUAUCCUACCCGCCUGCCGCCUCCUCUUUCAUUUUCCUCAAGCUGUAUUGCUCAACUUCCAUAUACAUACUCCGUUUUCAUUUGAUUUUAGCAAUAAAAAAAUACAAUUUCAAUUUAUUGGAUAUAUCUAAAAUUUGUAUUGAUUAUUUAUUCUCAUCUAGUAUCAAUUUAUAUAUCUAUCAAUUGAAUUUGGUUAGCGUUCUACAAUCUAAUUAUAGAAAUUAUUCAUUUAUACGAUUAUCUUCAUGUAUUUGUUAAGGAUUUUAUGGCUUUUUACGGUCGAUAUGAUUAAAUCUCGAUGAUUUAUCCCGUCAGCGGUGAUAGUGGUGUCGGCGUUGUCGGCAAAGCUCGGAAAUUGCUGCCUCCGUCGUUACCUUUCCCGCCCUGGUUUUCCGUUGAAACAAUUUUCGAGUUCUCCAUUGAAGUGUUGUCGUGCUCUUAAUUGACGGGCUUCUCUCCUCUAGUUUUUGCAGCUCACAGAACUUGGGUUUUAAUCUCGGUCAUCCAAUGAAGAAUGCAAAUUUUGGUUGCUUAGCUUAAGAAAAAUAAUCUUCAAAGUUAUAUGAAAAAAGCAAGGAACAAAAAUUCGGCGUUUGACAUACGAAGUAUAAUUUUCCGAGGUUACUCAAGCGCAAGAUUAGAUUAUGCCAUGUCAAUAAUCAGGGCUUUUAUCAAGGUUGAGCAAAAAUUUUGUUAAGUAUAAUACAGUGUAUAUUACAAAGUAAUGAAAUUAUUUUUCUGAGUUUAAUUUCUUA
Chenopodium quinoa (quinoa) is the source of this 1200-nucleotide long non-coding RNA. RefSeq lists it as uncharacterized. The transcript is spliced from 2 exons. Lineage: Eukaryota; Viridiplantae; Streptophyta; Magnoliopsida; Caryophyllales; Amaranthaceae. The record is from RefSeq and is a predicted model, not a curated record.